This 483-nucleotide ribosomal RNA is filed under the name uncultured bacterium. RNAcentral describes it as "bacterial SSU rRNA". It matches the Rfam family "Bacterial small subunit ribosomal RNA", at positions 501 to 984 of the family's 1533-position model. The record is from RNAcentral.
CUACGUGCCAGCAGCCGCGGUAAUACGGAGGAUGCGAGCGUUAUCCGGAUUUAUUGGGUUUAAAGGGUGCGUAGGUUGUUCGGUAAGUCAGCGGUGAAACCUGAGCGCUCAACGUUCAGCCUGCCGUUGAAACUGCCGGGCUUGAGUUCAGUGGCGGCAGGCGGAAUUCGUGGUGUAGCGGUGAAAUGCAUAGAUAUCACGAGGAACUCCGAUUGCGAAGGCAGCUUGCCAUACUGCGACUGACACUGAAGCACGAAGGCGUGGGUAUCAAACAGGAUUAGAUACCCUGGUAGUCCACGCAGUAAACGAUGAUUACUAGGAGUUUGCGAUAUACCGUCAAGCUUCCACAGCGAAAGCGUUAAGUAAUCCACCUGGGGAGUACGCCGGCAACGGUGAAACUCAAAGGAAUUGACGGGGGCCCGCACAAGCGGAGGAACAUGUGGUUUAAUUCGAUGAUACGCGAGGAACCUUACCCGGGAUUGA